Molecule: small RNA, 563 nt
Filed under: Pongo abelii (Sumatran orangutan)
Lineage: Eukaryota; Metazoa; Chordata; Mammalia; Primates; Hominidae
Description: processed transcript
Source: RNAcentral
AGAAGAGGGAGAAAAAGAUUCUACAGCCCUGGCCACAGUACUUUGGUGACACUUUUCCUGGGGCUCCCUGGAGGACUUUUCCCAAGGCAGAUGGAGAAAACUUCGUGAAAUCCACUCCUUGCUAUUAAAGGAAAUGUUGUGGAAUAUAAUUGGACUUAGGUUUUGCAGAGCUUGAGCAUGGCCUUUUUGUCCUCCCACCUUCUGGUUCUUGAAGACAUUGCCGGUGACCUGGCCCCAGACUAACACGAGGCGGGCGUAUAUCGUCAGCCUGCCCGGCGUCCCCUUGCCUCAGCACACACAGAGACCUCUUGCAAGAUGCUUCUCUGCCGCCAUAGGCUGGAGAUUCCCCGGGAACUUUCCCUUCCUUCCUAGCUGAGGAAGAUCCCUCACUUCCGCUCGCCGCGCCACCGGUCCCACCUCCCCGCCCCCCGCUGGGUCCUAGCGCCGGCCCCUCUUUGGCAGAGUCCGGGCUCCGUCGGUGCGAGGAGCCGACGCCGACGCCACGGAGUCAGCACAAGUCUCAUCAGUGGUUCUGCCGACCCUUGGUCCAACUCCUUUCUUCA